UUUAAUCAUUAGACAAUGCCCCAUGGCUCAAAAUCAAAUCCUUAACAUUUCUUUCUAUUUUAAAACUGUGAUGCUUAAUGAUAACAAUUAUGGACUCUGCCUCCCUUACCUUUUUGCCACAGAAUGGGAAAUGAAACUCGGACUUGAUUAAUGAGAGUAACUGUGAUGGGAAGUGACUAUGCAGAGAUACAAUCAAUUAAUUUUUGAUAAAAAGGUGCUCAGGAAAACUGUUUCUCCUGGUAAUGCAAAACUGGAUCUGCUGGCAGGUAGCUGCUAAACUGAAGGCACUUCAGACCGAAGACACAAAGAGCCUGCAGCACAAGAGAAUGAGACCCAAAUGCUGUGCCAAGUGCAGCUGAACCACAAAGGAGGCCAACUAUUUACCACAAGAGUUCAAUUUAAAAAAUUCUACAGCUUGUUUUAAAUUUGUUCUACAGCUUGUUUUUAAAUUUCUCAAUUCUUCUUUGACAAAUUUUCCACCGUCACCUCCCACUGCAAACAUUAGAACCAUCUUUUCUACUUUCUUCCAAAUUUGAAAAUGAAAAUUUUAAAAGAAUACAAGCUAAUAGGCACUGAGA
Molecule: long non-coding RNA, 578 nt
Filed under: Heterocephalus glaber (naked mole-rat)
Lineage: Eukaryota; Metazoa; Chordata; Mammalia; Rodentia; Bathyergidae
Description: lncRNA (ENSHGLG00100043909.1)
Source: RNAcentral